Molecule: transfer RNA, 86 nt
Filed under: Candidatus Margulisiibacteriota bacterium
Lineage: Bacteria; Bacillati; Candidatus Margulisiibacteriota
Description: tRNA-Ser
Rfam family: tRNA
About the family: Transfer RNA (tRNA) molecules are approximately 80 nucleotides in length. Their secondary structure includes four short double-helical elements and three loops (D, anti-codon, and T loops).
Source: RNAcentral
GGAGGGGUACCCAAGUGGUUCAAGGGGACGGUUUGCUAAACCGUUAGUACCGCAAGGUAGCGAGAGUUCGAAUCUCUCCCCCUCCG